GCCUUGUUGGUGUAGUGGUAUCAUGCCCUCUUUGGGUGACGUUUUAGUCUCAUCUGGGGGUGGUCCUCGGUUCGAUCCCGGGACAAGGCC
Non-coding RNA from Cryptococcus sp. DSM 104548, 90 nucleotides. The record is from the annotation of a GenBank genome assembly.